This 770-nucleotide unclassified non-coding RNA is filed under the name Hevea brasiliensis (rubber tree). Lineage: Eukaryota; Viridiplantae; Streptophyta; Magnoliopsida; Malpighiales; Euphorbiaceae. The record is from RNAcentral.
UCAGAGAAUGAUCAAGUGGUGCAGGUAUGAUAUCGUCUCAGUGAUUUAUUUUUUGUUACACGUGGUGAAUGAAUAAGUAAAUUGAUCUGAACUUGAAACUAGUAUUUAUUACUGAUUAUUUUUUGUGAUUUGUGAAAUGCAUUUACUGUUUCAUUAACAAGUACAGUUGUCAUUUGAGGUCAGGAGGUUGUUGGUGUGAUUUUGGCCAUUUAUUUAAUUAAGACGGUGAACUACUUUUUUUUUGGCUGUCUUAUUUAUUUUUGGUUGGGGGGGGAGUGCGCUCAUGUUGACAUUCACAAUAAUUGGAGAUCGUGAAGGAAUUUUGAAAACUAUCUAGUCUCAGGACAAAACUGCUUGGAACCAUCAUAAUUGAGUUCUCCAUCUCCUCCCUCUUUCCAUUUGUUGUGGUGGAUGUGAGCCCAUUACAAUUGCCGGACAUGGAUGAACCUCAACUAUUGUCCUGGACACCCAUUUUUCCCAACAGAGAGUGUAGGACAUGGUUUCUAUGAUAUUUAUACCUUUUUCAGUGACUAAAAUGUGAUCAUUAAUAUGAUGUCGCAGAUCAGUUGGUAUUGGGAUCAUUGCAUGGAUAAAUCCUUAAGCAUAUUAUAAAAGUUUGAUAAGUCUUUUUUUGGUAAGGUGUAUCACAUAACAUGGCCUAUGAUGGUAGGAUAUUCAUUAUUGCUUCUUGUGGUUUGUUUCUUUUGUUUUUUUCCCCUAUUGAUUUCUUGACUUGUAUGUUUAAUAGAUUUCAGGAGAGUUUAAGAAUG